This 310-nucleotide unclassified non-coding RNA is filed under the name uncultured Tricholomataceae. RNAcentral describes it as "sequence contains ITS2". The stretch from base 1 to 52 matches the Rfam family "5.8S ribosomal RNA", at positions 103 to 154 of the family's 154-position model. Lineage: Eukaryota; Fungi; Basidiomycota; Agaricomycetes; Agaricales; Tricholomataceae. The record is from RNAcentral.
AACGCACCUUGCGCCCUUUGGUAUUCCGAAGGGCAUGCCUGUUUGAGUGUCAUUAAAUUAUCAACCUUGUUCGCUUUUACGAGCUUGAGCGAGGCUUGGAUGUGAGGGCCUGCUGGCUUCCUUCAGUGGAUGGUCUGCUCCCUUUAAAUGCAUUAGUGGGAUCUCUUGUGGACCGUCACUUGGUGUGAUAAUUAUCUAUGCCAUUUGACUGUGAAGCAAAAUUAUGGGAACCUGCUUAUAACCGUCUCGCAAGGGACAAUUUAAUUGACUAUUUGACCUCAAAUCAGGUAGGACUACCCGCUGAACUUAA